This 603-nucleotide small RNA is filed under the name Pan troglodytes (chimpanzee). Its description in RNAcentral is "retained intron". Lineage: Eukaryota; Metazoa; Chordata; Mammalia; Primates; Hominidae. The record is from RNAcentral.
UGCAGGUGUUGCCAGCAGCUCAGCCAGUGCUGUGGGGCCUCCCGCCCCGCCCCCAUGGCCCCUCCCACUGGUCAGGUCGAGGGCCAGGCCUCAGAGCGGCCCCUGUGUCCACGCAGGUGUUUGGUCUUGGGAACAAGACCUACGAGCACUUCAAUGCCAUGGGCAAGUACGUGGACAAGCGGCUGGAGCAGCUCGGCGCCCAGCGCAUCUUUGAGCUGGGGUUGGGCGACGACGAUGGGAACUUGGAGGAGGACUUCAUCACCUGGCGAGAGCAGUUCUGGCCGGCCGUGUGUGAACACUUUGGGGUGGAAGCCACUGGCGAGGAGUCCAGCAUUCGCCAGUACGAGCUUGUGGUCCACACCGACAUAGACGCGGCCAAGGUGUACAUGGGGGAGAUGGGCCGGCUGAAGAGCUACGAGAACCAGAAGCCCCCCUUUGAUGCCAAGAAUCCGUUCCUGGCUGCAGUCACCACCAACCGGAAGCUGAACCAGGGAACCGAGCGCCACCUCAUGCACCUGGAAUUGGACAUCUCAGACUCCAAAAUCAGGUAUGAAUCUGGGGACCACGUGGCUGUGUACCCAGCCAACGACUCUGCUCUCGUCA